UGUUUGAUGUUCUAACGUGGACCCGUGAUCCGGGUUGCGGACAGUGUCUGGUGGGUAGUUUGACUGGGGCGGUCUCCUCCUAAAGAGUAACGGAGGAGCACGAAGGUUGGCUAAUCCUGGUCGGACAUCAGGAGGUUAGUGCAAUGGCAUAAGCCAGCUUGACUGCGAGCGUGACGGCGCGAGCAGGUGCGAAAGCAGGUCAUAGUGAUCCGGUGGUUCUGAAUGGAAGGGCCAUCGCUCAACGGAUAAAAGGUACUCCGGGGAUAACAGGCUGAUACCGCCCAAGAGUUCAUAUCGACGGCGGUGUUUGGCACCUCGAUGUCGGCUCAUCACAUCCUGGGGCUGAAGUAGGUCCCAAGGGUAUGGCUGUUCGCCAUUUAAAGUGGUACGCGAGCUGGGUUUAGAACGUCGUGAGACAGUUCGGUCCCUAUCUGCCGUGGGCGCUGGAGAACUGAGGGGGGCUGCUCCUAGUACGAGAGGACCGGAGUGGACGCAUCACUGGUGUUCGGGUUGUCAUGCCAAUGGCACUGCCCGGUAGCUAAAUGCGGAAGAGAUAAGUGCUGAAAGCAUCUAAGCACGAAACUUGCCCCGAGAUGAGUUCUCCCUGAGACUUAGAGUCUCCUGA
Molecule: ribosomal RNA, 625 nt
Filed under: Salmonella enterica
Lineage: Bacteria; Pseudomonadati; Pseudomonadota; Gammaproteobacteria; Enterobacterales; Enterobacteriaceae
Also listed under: 1 other name
Description: partial 23S ribosomal RNA
Rfam family: Bacterial large subunit ribosomal RNA
Source: RNAcentral